Molecule: non-coding RNA, 23 nt
Filed under: Cricetulus griseus (Chinese hamster)
Lineage: Eukaryota; Metazoa; Chordata; Mammalia; Rodentia; Cricetidae
Source: RNAcentral
CCCGGCCAAUGCAAAGAGAACUU